AUAAAUAUCACAAAACAACCUCAAUGAUUCGAUCUAUAUAUAACCUCAUCUCUCUCGCCUCUUUCACUCUCAAACCCUAAUCCUGUCUUCCGCCGAUUUCUACGAAAGCGAAUGCUGUGGAGAAAAUUGAGCAUAUAAUCCACAGUUGCAUCGGCCGGAUUGGAUGGCUAUCUUCACAAUGUGUGACAUACUAAAAGCAUCCUCAACGGUACAGAUGUUGUCUUGUCCUGCUGAGAGGAAAUGGCGACGGGCUGACGUUGCAGAACACUCGUCUCAAUGUGCUUUCGGAAGAGUCAAGAAAGAAUGACACCAUGUAUGGAGACAUGAUGCAUCCAAGUAUAUAUCCAAAUGAAACACAUUCGCCAUCUCUGCUCAACAUCGCCCAUCGUCAUCACCGCUUAAUCUGCAUAUUUAGAAAUAUAUGCAGGGCUGAGUACAAAGGUACUCAGUGAACACAUUGCCGAAAGAUACAAAUAUACAUUUGAAAAUAUUGUCAAGCCAUCAUCGCAGUA
This is a long non-coding RNA of Salvia hispanica, 512 nucleotides long. RefSeq lists it as uncharacterized. Lineage: Eukaryota; Viridiplantae; Streptophyta; Magnoliopsida; Lamiales; Lamiaceae. The record is from RefSeq and is a predicted model, not a curated record.